This 502-nucleotide ribosomal RNA is filed under the name uncultured bacterium. RNAcentral describes it as "partial 16S ribosomal RNA". It matches the Rfam family "Bacterial small subunit ribosomal RNA", at positions 30 to 523 of the family's 1533-position model. The record is from RNAcentral.
AUUGAACGCUGGCGGCAGGCUUAACACAUGCAAGUCGAGCGGGGUGAUGGUGCUUGCACUAUCACUUAGCGGCGGACGGGUGAGUAAUGCUUAGGAAUCUGCCUAUUAGUGGGGGACAACAUCUCGAAAGGGAUGCUAAUACCGCAUACGUCCUACGGGAGAAAGCAGGGGGUCCCUUGUGACCUUGCGCUAAUAGAAGAGCAUAAGUCGGAUUAGCUAGUUGGUGGGGUAAAGGCCUACCAAGGCGACGAUCUGUAGCGGGUCUGAGAGGAGGAUCCGCCACACUGGGACUGAGACACGGCCCAGACUCCUACGGGAGGCAGCAGUGGGGAAUAUUGGACAAUGGGGGAACCCUGAUCCAGCCAUGCCGCGUGUGUGAAGAAGGCCUUAUGGUUGUAAAGCACUUUAAGCGAGGAGGAGGCUCUUUUGGUUAAUACCCAAGAUGAGUGGACGUUACUCGCAGAAUAAGCACCGGCUAACUCUGUGCCAGCCGCCGCGGUAA